Molecule: ribosomal RNA, 373 nt
Filed under: uncultured bacterium
Lineage: Bacteria
Description: bacterial SSU rRNA
Rfam family: Bacterial small subunit ribosomal RNA
Source: RNAcentral
ACGGGGGGUGCAAGCGUUGUUCGGAAUUAUUGGGCGUAAGGAGCGUGUAGGCGGUUUGUUAAGUCUGAUGUGAAAGCCCUGGGCUCAACCCAGGAAGUGCAUUGGAAACUGUCAGACUUGAAUACGGGAGAGGGCAGUGGAAUUCCUAGUGUAGGAGUGAAAUCCGUAGAUAUUAGGAGGAACACCGGUGGCGAAGGCGGCUGCCUGGACCGAUAUUGACGCUGAGACGCGAAAGCGUGGGUAGCAAACAGGAUUAGAUACCCUGGUAGUCCACGCCGUAAACGAUGAGAACUAGGUGUUGCGGGUAUUGACCCCUGCAGUGCCGCAGCUAACGCAUUAAGUUCUCCGCCUGGGAAGUACGGUCGCAAGACUA